Armigeres subalbatus is the source of this 1045-nucleotide long non-coding RNA. RefSeq lists it as uncharacterized. The transcript has 4 exons. Lineage: Eukaryota; Metazoa; Arthropoda; Insecta; Diptera; Culicidae. The record is from RefSeq and is a predicted model, not a curated record.
UUGUGAUCUUCGAACGGGUCCAAGCCACUAGUCCCGUAUACCGAUUGUCCGCUGGCACUUCAACAGUCAUGGAAGGGGUCAGACGCUUUGGCGAAUUCGUUUUGGCGGCGAUGGGUAUCAGAGUAUCUGCCCACAAUAACUCGGCGAACCAAAUGGUACUAUCCUGUGAAGCCAAUUGCGGUUGGCGACAUUGUCAUUGUGGUGGAUCCUCAGUUGGCUCGGAACUGUUGGCCGAAAGGACGCGUGCUAUCAGUUAAGACUUCAUCAGACGGACAAGUACGUUCGGCGGUCGUACAGACAGUUACAGGCCUUUAUGAAAGGCCAGCAGUGAAGCUUGCAGUGCUGGAUGUAGGUGCAAAACGAAGUAAGCUGGACCAGGGCCCAACUACUGAGGGGGACUGUUGCGCACACCCUAAGCGUAACGCAGCACCUACACCCGAACAUCGUUGAUGGGAAUACCUCCAACGGCAAUUUAUACGAGCUCUUUGUGGGUCUGUCUGCGUGAUGCAGUUGGCGAGAAUGACGUGGAGCAGUACUGUCAACUGUAGAUCGUAAAGCGAUGACUAGCGAAAAAUGUGUUCUACAUAAAGGUUGUGAGUGAGACGGUGAAUUUCUUAAUCUAUAAUUUGUUGCUAAAACUAGUUAUUCCCUACUGUUAACUUAUUCUAUCUAUUACUAAAUUGAAUCGAGACGUGAAAGUGAGCCAACAAGCUGGACCUGCAUGCGAAGGAUCCAGACAGUCAGUAUUCCUCAAAUUAACGAUUUGAGAUUCUGUUAAUCCUAAUUGACGUCGCUAGAAGAGAAACCGUAGUAAAAACAGGGAAACCUACAAACGAAAAAUUUAAUCUCGGUGCUCGACACUGCAAAUAAACCGGAUUGAAAAUUUUCGGAAAGCGUUUCUCUUGUUGCAUCUGCAACACCAAUUCAUUGCAAAAUGAAAAUGAAAUAUUUAAUAUUUAUUACUUUUUGUGGGUAUAAAAUAGUCAAAAUAGAAUUAAUUUAAAGUCUUUUGUGUGGGAACUUUUAUUUGCAGUGUGGUGAGUUU